Molecule: unclassified non-coding RNA, 142 nt
Filed under: uncultured Chaetosphaeriaceae
Lineage: Eukaryota; Fungi; Ascomycota; Sordariomycetes; Chaetosphaeriales; Chaetosphaeriaceae
Description: sequence contains ITS1
Source: RNAcentral
CAGGACUCGCAAGACUCCCGUAAACCAUUGUGAACCUACCUAUUGUUGCCUCGGCGGGCGCUCGAGCUCAGCGCUCAGCCCGCCGGCGGCCCCCUACUCUGACUCACUGCGAUGGCAUCUCGGAGAAAACACAAACCAAUAA